AUUGAACGCUGGUGGCAGGCCUAACACAUGCAAGUCGGACGGUAGCACAGAGGAGCUUGCUCCUCGGGUGACGAGUGGCGGACGGGUGAGUAAUGUCUGGGGAUCUGCCCGAUAGAGGGGGAUAACCACUGGAAACGGUGGCUAAUACCGCAUAACGUCGCAAGACCAAAGAGGGGGACCUUCGGGCCUCUCACGAUCGGAUGAACCCAGAUGGGAUUAGCUAGUAGGCGGGGUAACGGCCCACCUAGGCGACGAUCCCUAGCUGGUCUGAGAGGAUGACCAGCCACACUGGAACUGAGACACGGUCCAGACUCCUACGGGAGGCAGCAGUGGGGAAUAUUGCACAAUGGGCGCAAGCCUGAUGCAGCCAUGCCGCGUGUAUGAAGAAGGCCUUCGGGUUGUAAAGUACUUUCAGCGGGGAGGAAGGCGAUAAGGUUAAUAACCUUGUCGAUUGACGUUACCCGCAGAAGCAGCACCGGCUAACUCCGUGCCAGCCGCCGCGGUAA
This 506-nucleotide ribosomal RNA is filed under the name uncultured bacterium. RNAcentral describes it as "partial 16S ribosomal RNA". It matches the Rfam family "Bacterial small subunit ribosomal RNA", at positions 29 to 523 of the family's 1533-position model. The record is from RNAcentral.